GACGAACGCUGGCGGCGUGCUUAACACAUGCAAGUCGAACGAUGAAGCUGGAGCUUGCUCCGGUGGGUUAGUGGCGAACGGGUGAGUAACACGUGAGUAAUCUGCCCUUGACUCUGGGAUAACUGCGGGAAACCGUAGCUAAUACCGGAUACGACACCUUCGGGCAUCCGAUGGGUGUGGAAAGAAUUUCGGUCAAGGAUGAACUCGCGGCCUAUCAGCUAGUUGGUGAGGUAAUGGCUCACCAAGGCGACGACGGGUAGCCGGCCUGAGAGGGGGACCGGCCACACUGGGACUGAGACACGGCCCAGACUCCUACGGGAGGCAGCAGUGGGGAAUAUUGCACAAUGGGCGAAAGCCUGAUGCAGCAACGCCGCGUGAGGGAUGAAGGCCUUCGGGUUGUAAACCUCUUUUAGUUGGGAAGAAGCGAAAGUGACGGUACCAACAGAAAAAGCACCGGCUAACUACGUGCCAGCCGCCGCCGUAA
Molecule: ribosomal RNA, 484 nt
Filed under: uncultured bacterium
Lineage: Bacteria
Description: partial 16S ribosomal RNA
Rfam family: Bacterial small subunit ribosomal RNA
Source: RNAcentral